GGAGAGAUAGCUCAGUGGUUAAGAGCACUGGGUACUCUUCCAGAGGUCCUGAGAUCAAUUCUUAGCAUCCUUA
RNAcentral lists this transfer RNA (73 nucleotides) under Rattus norvegicus (Norway rat). It matches the Rfam family "tRNA". Rfam says of the family: Transfer RNA (tRNA) molecules are approximately 80 nucleotides in length. The record is from Rfam by way of RNAcentral. Lineage: Eukaryota; Metazoa; Chordata; Mammalia; Rodentia; Muridae.